Oxyura jamaicensis (ruddy duck) is the source of this 410-nucleotide long non-coding RNA. RefSeq lists it as uncharacterized. The transcript is spliced from 3 exons. NCBI's taxonomy places the organism in Eukaryota, Metazoa, Chordata, Aves, Anseriformes, Anatidae. The record is from RefSeq and is a predicted model, not a curated record.
GGCUGGCUCUUAGAAAUGCCUCUGGAAAUGUGACUCACGGAAGAAGUAGCGGGAGGCUCCUAUGGCAUUCGCUCUAACGCGGGAAAGAUCAUUCCCUCUUACUGUACAUGUGACAGAAGUCACCACCUCUGCAUCCGCAAAUGAUGCAGAAGAAUGCAUCUGAAGAAGUGGGGACAUUUGAUGUUUUCUGAUAGUGUCUCCUCCCACACCAAACCCCCAUCCGUUGGUGAGGCCAACAAACACUCAUCGUUAAAUCAGUGAGGCCAGUCAAGAUGUCUGUAACACAGCAAGACACACAGCAAAAACAGCAGCAAUACCAGCAACAAACUUCUCUCUCCCUGCCUGCACACAUAACGAACAGCGAUCAUGCCUAGUAGGCUGUUGGGAAGUGCAUUAUCUUCUGACCUUAA